Molecule: non-coding RNA, 96 nt
Organism: Mycena alexandri
Lineage: Eukaryota; Fungi; Basidiomycota; Agaricomycetes; Agaricales; Mycenaceae
Source: the annotation of a GenBank genome assembly
GAUCCAAUAGCACAGUGGUUAGUGCCCUUGCUUUACAUGGUCUAGUUGUCUAACAUCUUGAAGCAAGAGACCCGUGUUCGAUUCACGGUUGGGUCA